UGUGGCUCAGUGGUAGAGUGCUUGCCUCACAUGUAUGAAUCACUGGGUUCAAUUCUCAGCA
Molecule: transfer RNA, 61 nt
Filed under: Ictidomys tridecemlineatus (thirteen-lined ground squirrel)
Lineage: Eukaryota; Metazoa; Chordata; Mammalia; Rodentia; Sciuridae
Description: Spermophilus tridecemlineatus (thirteen-lined ground squirrel) tRNA
Rfam family: tRNA
About the family: Transfer RNA (tRNA) molecules are approximately 80 nucleotides in length.
Source: Rfam by way of RNAcentral